This 352-nucleotide ribosomal RNA is filed under the name Conicofrontia bipartita. Its description in RNAcentral is "partial 12S ribosomal RNA". The record is from RNAcentral. Lineage: Eukaryota; Metazoa; Arthropoda; Insecta; Lepidoptera; Noctuidae.
UAAAAUUUAAAUUUAAAAUACUAAAAUAGUAGGUAAUUGAUUAUUGAAACUUAAAUAAUUUGGCGGUAUUUUAGUUCAUUUAGAGGAAUCUGUUUAAUAAUUGAUAUUCCACGAAUAAAUUUACUUAAUUUAUAGUUUUGUAUAUCGUUGUUAAAAAAAUAUUUUUUAAUAAAAUUAAUAUUUAAAAAUUAUUAUAUAAAUUUAAAUCAGAUCAAGAUGCAGAUUAUAAUUAAGAAUAUAAUGGAUUACAAUAAAUUUAUUUAAAUGAAUAUUAAUUUGUAAAAAUUAUUUGAAAGUGGAUUUAAAUGUAAUUUUAUUUAAUUUAAUAAUAUGAUUAAAAAUUAAGAUAUGU